Molecule: small nucleolar RNA, 133 nt
Filed under: Erpetoichthys calabaricus (reedfish)
Lineage: Eukaryota; Metazoa; Chordata; Cladistia; Polypteriformes; Polypteridae
Description: Small nucleolar RNA SNORA3/SNORA45 family (ENSECRG00000001751.1)
Rfam family: Small nucleolar RNA SNORA3/SNORA45 family
About the family: The members of this family belong to the H/ACA class of snoRNAs which are thought to guide the sites of modification of uridines to pseudouridines. This family includes mouse snoMBI-28 and human homologues ACA3 (SNORA3) and ACA3-2 (SNORA45).
Source: RNAcentral
UGCGAGACUUAGAGUCACAUCUUGAUAUUUUUUUGUUGUCAUGGUGUGCUAUAGCUCUCGUAAAUUAAAGCUCUGUGCUUAUUCAUUAACUGUACCGACACUUGCCCAGUCAAUCACCAGCUCAGAGACAGCU